AAAAAAAAAAAAACCCUUGUGGUUUCACUUCUUCUCACUUUAGUACUCAGUAUUUAAAGUGUAUCAAGUUAGUACCCAGUGAUUUUACACUUUUUUACUAUAAUACUCUGUGGUUUAAAGUAUAUCAAAUUAGUACCCUACGAUUUCGCACUUUCUCACUUUAGUACCAUGUGGUUUCGCACUUUCUCACUUUAGUACUCUAUGGUUUAAAAACUAUAGGGUACUAACUUGAUACAAAAAUAAAACCACAGGGUAUUAACUUGAUACAAAAAUAAAACAACAGAGUACUAACUUGAUACACUUUAAACCACAGGGUACUAAAGUGAGAAAGUGAGAAAUCACAUGGUACUAACUUGAUACACUUUAAACCAUAGGGUACUAAAAUG
This 386-nucleotide long non-coding RNA is filed under the name Ananas comosus (pineapple). Its description in RNAcentral is "long non-coding RNA (ACOM_LNC039400)". The record is from RNAcentral. Lineage: Eukaryota; Viridiplantae; Streptophyta; Magnoliopsida; Poales; Bromeliaceae.